This 155-nucleotide ribosomal RNA is filed under the name uncultured bacterium. RNAcentral's name for it is "partial 16S ribosomal RNA". It matches the Rfam family "Bacterial small subunit ribosomal RNA", at positions 338 to 508 of the family's 1533-position model. The record is from RNAcentral.
CCUACGGGAGGCAGCAGCAAGGAAUCUUCCGCAAUGGGCGAAAGCCUGACGGAGCAACGCCGCGUGUGGGAUGACGCCUUUCGGGGUGUAAACCACUUUUCUCGGGGAAGAAGCACUGACGGUACCUGAGGAAUAAGGACCGGCUAACUACGUGC